GACGAACGCUGGCGGCGUGCCUAAUACAUGCAAGUGGGACGCAAGGGAACACACUGUGCUUGCACACCGUGUUUUCUUGAUUCGCGAACGGGUGAGUAACGCGUAGGUAACCUGCCUAUUAGCGGGGGAUAACUAUUGGAAACGAUAGCUAAUACCGCAUAAUAUUAAUUAUUGCAUGAUAAUUGAUUGAAAGAUGCAAGCGCAUCACUAGUAGAUGGACCCGCGUUGUAUUAGCUAGUUGGUAAGGUAAGAGCUUACCAAGGCGACGAUACAUAGCCGACCUGAGAGGGUGAUCGGCCACACUGGGACUGAGACACGGCCCAGACUCCUACGGGAGGCAGCAGUAGGGAAUCUUCGGCAAUGGACGAAAGUCUGACCGAGCAACGCCGCGUGAGUGAAGAAGGUUUUCGGAUCGUAAAGCUCUGUUGUAAGUCAAGAACGUGUGUGAGAGUGGAAAGUUUACACAGGGACGGAGCCGUCCAA
RNAcentral lists this ribosomal RNA (483 nucleotides) under Streptococcus mutans. RNAcentral describes it as "bacterial SSU rRNA". It matches the Rfam family "Bacterial small subunit ribosomal RNA", at positions 28 to 485 of the family's 1533-position model. Lineage: Bacteria; Bacillati; Bacillota; Bacilli; Lactobacillales; Streptococcaceae. The record is from RNAcentral.